This 497-nucleotide ribosomal RNA is filed under the name uncultured bacterium. RNAcentral's name for it is "partial 16S ribosomal RNA". It matches the Rfam family "Bacterial small subunit ribosomal RNA", at positions 28 to 507 of the family's 1533-position model. The record is from RNAcentral.
GAUGAACGCUGGCGGCGUGCCUAAUACAUGCAAGUCGAGCGAACAGAUGAGGAGCUUGCUCCUCUGACGUUAGCGGCGGACGGGUGAGUAACACGUGGAUAACCUACCUAUAAGACUGGGAUAACUUCGGGAAACCGGCGCUAAUACCGGAUAAUAUAUUGAACCGCAUGGUUCAAUAGUGAAAGACGGUUUUGCUGUCACUUAUAGAUGGAUCCGCGCCGCAUUAGCUAGUUGGUAAGGUAACGGCUUACCACGGCAACGAUGCGUAGCCGACCUGAGAGGCGGAUCGCCCACACUGGAACUGAGACACGGUCCAGACGACUACGGGAGGCAGCAGUAGGGAAUCUGCGGCAGUGGGCGAAAGCCUGACGGAGCAGCGCCGCGUGAGUGAUGAAGGUCUUCGGAUCGUAAAACUCUGUUAUUAGGGAAGAACAAAUGUGUAAGUAACUAUGCACGGCUUGACGGUACCUAAUCAGAAAGCCACGGCUAACUACGUG